Long non-coding RNA from Ostrea edulis (European flat oyster), 2020 nucleotides. RefSeq lists it as uncharacterized. The record is from RefSeq and is a predicted model, not a curated record. NCBI's taxonomy places the organism in Eukaryota, Metazoa, Mollusca, Bivalvia, Ostreida, Ostreidae. The transcript is spliced from 6 exons.
AUUAUACUGUAUACCUAUAAGUAUAAAUUGUCCUUCUCUUAAUUUUGUAUACUUUGUGGAAUUUAUGAUCACUGUUCGUUAUCUUCUCUUUAUAUUACCAGUAUAUUCUAUGUACCUGACUCACCAGGAAUGCAUUGUUAGGUCACCUUAGUCACUCAGGUGAUCGUUUGCUAUUGAUCUGCCCGUUCGUUAUUGUCAUCUGUCAAUUGUAUAUAUGGAUUCGUUUAACACCCCCCUCAACAAAAUUUCACUCAUGGAGACAUCAUCAAUUCCGGCGAAGGGGCUGCAAAAUUUAGGUCUAUGCUCGGCGCUUAUGGCCUUUGAGCAGGGAGGGAUUUUUAUCUUGCCACAAAACAUUCUUGGGAAAAGGGGAUUCAUGUUUGUUCAAAUGAAGCAGCGUGUCAACUUGAAAGGGGAAAUUAUACAGUGAAACUUCUCCAAAUCGGCCCCUCAGAAAACCAUUCCUCUCUGAAUAUCGCCCAAUUCUUAAAGUCUCUGUAGGAAUCUUAACAUAUCCUUUCAAAGAAAUUCAUAUAGUCCAAAAUGUGACUUAUCGAGAUUUCCGCCAUUUUUGACAAGGGACUUCUGGGAUGAUCCUCAGUUAAAGGUUCAGAUUUAGCUCGGAUUAUUCUGUGCUCUUUAGUCAUUGGAGCUUGGAGUAUGAGCCAGAGCACUGCGCUCGCUAUUAGUAUGCAAGUAGCUGCAUUUAAUUCAAAUUGAAGUUGAACACAAGGACCCCAGGGGUAGGGUGGGGGCAGAAUAUGAAAUCAGAGUUUUAUAUGGUAAUAUGCAGAAAAUUUAUUAAAACAAAGACUUUUCAAGAGUAGCAGGGCCACACUAAAUCAUAUCCAAAUGCAAAUGUCCCCAAGUUGUGUGAAAACAAGGUUUUUUUUAUGACCCUGACUAAGGAUGGGGUGGAAUUGUUUUUGUCCUGUCUGUCUGAAAUUUUAACCUUCCUCAUAACUUUUAAAUAAUGAGCAAUGGGGCUCUCAUAUUUGCAUUCUUUUUUAUAGCCAUAAAGUCUUUCACCUCGUGACCUUGACAUUAGAGUUUCAUCUACUGACCGGUUUAGCUUUCUGGACCUUAAAAGAUGUUGACACCCUGCUGAUGGAGCAGAUCCUAUUUCUUAGAAGCAGAAAGCAGUUCUCUUACCAUCAGAUCUGAUCCAUUUUUGGAGAUAGCCUUUUGUAUGGAGCUGGGUAACGGUUACUGGAGACAUGCUGUUGAUUGAUGAGGAUAAUUUUCCCGAGACUCUGACAUAUUGCAGGACCUGGAUAGCUCUACUGGUGUUCAAAAUGCCAGGACUGUGGAGUGUUGUGAUGUUAUUGAUGGUCAACAGAAGACUGUGACCUUGAAUCUGAAGAUCUGUGAUGAAGACUGGACGUUUGGGGUCACUCUCUGUUACAGUACUACAAAUCUAACAGUGUCACACUCAGCCACAAAGAGGUUGUCUCUGAUGUCCACACAUAAACAGAAUGGAGUGUAUAAAUCACAGUGAAUGUAACGGAGGAACUGUCCGUCCUGAUCUAGGAUGUGGAUACGGUGAUUGUUAGGGUCUGCUGUCAGGAUGUGACUCUGGCUGUCUGUAGUGAUGCCGUAUGGAGUAAAUGAUUGCUUGGUAUUAGAGAGAUGACCAGUGUAUCUAAAUCGGAGUUUUCCUGACUGAUUGACCACCACUACUGCACUAUAGUCAGCCACACAGAUAUCCAGGUUCUUGUUCUCACUGAGGUAUUUAGUGUAAUCACCAGAUGAGUAGAGAGGACGACCCUGAUCAUCAAACUGAAUGCUUUGUUUCUCUGUGGAGCCGGAGUAACGCACGACUUUGGAUUGUUUGUAAUCAUCACUGAUCAUGGUAACCAGGAGAUCACCAGAGGCGGUACUGCAGACAUAGAGAGGGUACCACCCCUGUAGUGUGAUCACGAUUGAGUUGAGUGGAACAAUGAACCUCCGGAUAUCUAUGUACAUUUACACGUGUAGGAUUAAACUUCUGUUGUACUCGCGUAUGUGAGUUUAUCCUGUA